This 76-nucleotide transfer RNA is filed under the name Rhizophagus irregularis DAOM 181602=DAOM 197198. Its description in RNAcentral is "tRNA-Arg". It matches the Rfam family "tRNA". Rfam says of the family: Transfer RNA (tRNA) molecules are approximately 80 nucleotides in length. Lineage: Eukaryota; Fungi; Glomeromycota; Glomeromycetes; Glomerales; Glomeraceae. The record is from RNAcentral.
GCCCGGCUGGCGUAAUCGGAUAACGCACCAGACUUCUAAGUAUCUGGGGAUUGCGGGUUCGAGUCCCGCGUCGGGU